Molecule: unclassified non-coding RNA, 215 nt
Filed under: plant metagenome
Description: partial contains small subunit ribosomal RNA, internal transcribed spacer 1, and 5.8S ribosomal RNA
Source: RNAcentral
GGAAGUAAAAUAACAAGGUCUCCGUUGGUGAACCAGCGGAGGGAUCAUUACCGAGUGCAAACUCAUAACCCUUUGUGAACCUAUAUCUGUUGCUUCGGCGGCUCGCUCUCGGGCGAGCCCGCCGGUAAUAUCAGUAUCUCUGUUUGAACCCGACGAUACUUCUGAGUGUUCUUAGCGAACAGUUAAAACUUUUAACAACGGAUCUCUUGGCUCUA